This 258-nucleotide unclassified non-coding RNA is filed under the name fungal sp. Its description in RNAcentral is "partial contains small subunit ribosomal RNA, internal transcribed spacer 1, and 5.8S ribosomal RNA". The stretch from base 1 to 46 matches the Rfam family "Eukaryotic small subunit ribosomal RNA", at positions 1786 to 1831 of the family's 1831-position model. RNAcentral also lists the same sequence under 1 other name. The record is from RNAcentral. Lineage: Eukaryota; Fungi.
AAGUCGUAACAAGGUUUCCGUAGGUGAACCUGCGGAAGGAUCAUUAAAUGAAAAGCUGGUUUACCAGUAUACGGCCCCUGGGUUUGUUUCUGACAAGCGCCAGGAUCAGUCGUCAUUUAUACCCAUGUUUUUUGCGUACUACUUGUUUCCUUGGUAGGCUUGCCUACCAUUAGGACCACACAAAACCUUUUGUAAUUGCAGUCAGCGUCAGAAAUAACUUAAUAGUUACAACUUUCAACAACGGAUCUCUUGGUUCUG